AUAAAUUACAUUUAUGAUCAUUAAAAUGUAUCCAAAUAAUCACUACAUAUUUUCUAACUAAAAUUUAGAUAAGAGACUACUAAUACAAAUUAAUCAUAUACUUAAUAAUAUGUAAAAAAUGUCAAAAAGCAUUACUUAAAUUUACAAAUACCUAAAUAUCAUAUCUGAAUGCUAAAUUAAAAAAAAUUAAAAUUGAUAAGUUAUUUUGAAAGAAGAUGCGGACCUGUUGACUGAUGCUUGGGUUUAAGAUUAGGAGUCUAAUCUCUUAAUUACUUGGGCCAAAGCUGGACUUUACAUGCUUCUAAUUUUUCCUUCAAUUUUUUUCCCUAUGGCUGGCUUCGGUACAAAAGCCCAUCUUCUGUUUAGUGCAGCCGCAAGUCCUUCAGUUUGUUUAAUGCACUUGCGGAUUCUUCCCUUCGGUUUGUUUAGUGCAGCCGCAAGUCACUGUGUGACGGCCCCACCUCCCCCUAAGGCAAACCAGAGGAUUCGGCGGGUCGCCUGCCCAACUCUCGCCAGGACUAACGGUUUGGUAUAGAAUGAGCUAAUACAUCCCGAAACUUACCAACGCGGGUAAAAAAAAAUAAAAAAAUAAAAAAAUCGAAGUCGGCUAUGAAUAGUAACCGACCCGUCAGAAUCCAACCAAAUAACAAGCAAACAUUCCCAUCUUGAAACUUAGCAUUUAUAAGCCAAAGUGGCAUACAAAAGUAUUCAAAAGUGGAUACAUGUCUGGUUUGCCAAAUCAAAAGGAAAACAGUUCCCAAAAGUACAUUUAAGAUUUUAAUACAUGAGCUAUACAAAAGAUAUGUUCAACUAGCUCAAUUUGGCAGCCAUUUGUCAAAUCCAGUCCAAAAGUAUUUAUUUUCCUGUAAGGAAAACAAAAGGAACAGAAAGGGGUGAGUUUGCGCUCAAUGAGGUACCAAACAUAUAGCAGAAAAAUCAUGACAUUUCACAUUUAACAAAUCAGAUACACAUGCCAGAUGUAAAGUAAAGUAACUAAUGAUUCACAUAGGAAGGAUACAGGUGGCUCUCAGGAGCCAAAUUUCCAGCGCAGUACUUGAUCCAAACCGGUUGACUCUCCGUCAUAUAGAACCAACGCGUCCGUAGACCCACUUCGCACCGAAUUCCGUCCACCAAACACCCCUUUACCGGGCCCGCUCACCUCAAACGAACAAAAUGGUAAUACUCGAGUAUACCCGGAAUCAAGGGUCUCAAUACCCAAAAUUUCCGAACAGACUACCGUGGUUCGUUAUCUAAUCGUCCAGACCCUUGCCGGCCCGACUCGAAUAACUUAGCCACAGGACUGAGCUCAUAGGUCAUAGAAAUCCGAACAGAUGCAGACACAGAUAACAGAUUCUAAUUUUGCAUAGUAAAUUGGCAUAUGAACAGACAAGAGAACGAGUGUGAUAAAGUACACACUCGUCUCAAACAAAUAAACAGAUUGCAGAGCAGAAAUCAAGUUAAACAGCAAUGGAGGGGAGUGGUACACUCACAGGCUCAAUUUCGAAAAGUUUCACUUCAGAUUGGCCUUAAUCGCCAAGAAAUCCUAAAAUAACCAAAAUAAACCAAUUGAAGGUUUCACAUCCAUAAUCGAGUAAACAAAAUGCACAUGAGGCUCGACUACUAGUCGUAUGCCUCGCCAAAUAAUUACUAAUGCAAGGGUACAAAACAUGAUUUUUGGGAACAAAAAGAUAGCAUAAAGACCUAGGUUCAACAACCCAAAAGCCCUUUUAUUUCUGCCAAAAGGCAAAUCCAACUUAAAAGAACCAAACGGCCUAGAAAAUCGGGCAGCACUUCCCCUAAAUUUCUUACUUUUCCAGCCAUUAAGGCUUCAUUAUUUCCUCGAAUCAGUCCAACAUCUCACACAAAAUUCACCUCAUUUCCAAAAGCCAUUCACUAGGCUCAAAGUAAAAGUUAACUAGGAAAUGACCGGAAUAAAAGUAAGCCUUAAAACAUACAAAAAAGUACAAUGAGACUCGAUAACUAAUCAUAAAUCAAUGCCAAAUAUGACCCCAAUAGGGUUCCAUAAGCAUAUACAAUCAUUAGAGAAAACCAGAAAAUUCGGAAUUGCAAUUAGCUUUGGCCCUGAAAAAACAGUUUUUGACUUCUUUUUUUACGGUAACGGUACCAAAUGCCCUAUGAUUAUCGGAUGAAGGUGUAAGACCCAUGAUUUCGAAGCUAAAAGAUAGGGCUACAACAUCACAGAAGGUCACUCAACCCAGUUUUGAGUGCAAAUAGGUCAAAAAUGCAAGAUACCACAUCAAAAACGUAAAACAGAUUCACCAAAACGCAUUCUAGCGGAAACAUCAUAACUCAGGCUCUACAAGUCCAAAUCCAGAAAUUCCAAAACCAACUGAAAUCUAAGAAACAGGGAUAAAUUUCAUCAGAAGGCCUCAACAACCAAUUCGGAAUCAAUUCAGACCAAAACACCCAAUUACAGUCGCAAAUCUCAAUUUCGGGUAAAACCAGAACAGCAAUAGUAAUUUCGACUUAUCUCAUUCCACACUAAUCCGAUUGACUUGAACUUUUGUAAGCACCUCUAAAAUGUUAUUCCCUACAACUUUCAUGUUUUGAGCUAAGGCCAAUUCAGCCUCUAUCUAUGACCUAAAAUUUCGGACAGAAUGAAGAACCAAGGAACCCUAAUUUUCCAGAUUUCUUCCAAACCCAAAAUUGGUUGCAAUUACCAAUCAUUUACACCUACUAGAGUUAUUAAACAUCAUUUCCAACCAUCAUGGACAGCCACAACAUCAUGAUCAAAUUAAACCAGAAAAAUCAUCAAUAAAUUAAAAACUUCACCAAUUCAUCUCAAACCAAGAAAUAAACCACAAAUUUCAGCACUUUAGCUCCCACUAGGCAUAACUUAAGCUUCAUUAAGUGUAGGAAGAAGUUCAAUCACCACUCACCUAGUGAACAAGAGAGGGAGAGUUUUAGGACACCUUAGCUCCUCCAAACACUUCACCAAACCACUAAACAACACCAAAUGAAGAGGUUUUAUGGAGUAGAAACAAGUUUAAGGGAUUGCUUGGGAUGAUUUGAGCUAGAUGGAUGCCAACCUUUGAAGAGUUUUCUUCCUUCCUUUGCUAGAGAGAGAGAGCCGACCAACAAGGAGAGGAAAAGAGUGAAUUUUUGGUGAUUUUUGGGGUAUUUAAUCAAUUAGUCAAAAAAAGUCAAAAGGUGAAUAGUUGUCCACCAAGUCCAACCAAUGGAAGAGUGACACUUGUCACUUCAUUAAAUGCAUUCCUAUCCCUUUCUUUUCCUCUCACAUCAAUCACUUCGCAUCCUCUACUUAUCUCUUAACACCCGAUAAAUUUCAACCAGUAUCCGAAAUUUAACCUAAUUGGCCGAAUUUUUCCGAACUUUUCGCACUAGUGGGUUCCACGUCCGAUAUAUAUCCUUAAUUUUUCAAAAACUCUCCAAUACUAGAAAAAUCAUCUAAAAACAUAAUUACUCAUAAUAUUCACCAGGAAAAUUUUUUUCCUAAGCCAGAAAAUGCAGAAAACAUGCCAUUAAAGGGGAUAAACCCUAGGAAAAUUAUUAAGAGGAAUUUAUGGGUUCUCACACUCUCUCCCCCUUAAAAGAAUUUCGUCCUCGAAAUUCCUUGAUAAGUGACUAAUUUACGUAAUAAUUGUAUGAUAUUUUAUAUUAUUUUUAGUCACUUUGGUUAUAUUAUUGGAAGAAUAUGAAUCAUUUUGGCUAUAAUUGGUGAAAAAUGCUUUUAAGUGAUUAAAUGAGGUUUUUAUCAUUUUUUAGUGGGAUUUUGUGUAUUUUGACAGUUUUGACACAUUUUCGUAUUUCGGCUAUAACUUGAGCUACAAUGAUCGGAUUGAGAUGAUUCUUGAACCAAUUUGAGGAUAAGAGAUAGAUCUACAACUUUGGUGAAGACAUCUAAAUCCAGUUUGAAGGUUUUCAAAAUCAAAAAGCCGAAUUACAUUAGCUAAUUUCUGUUGGUCGAAGCUGAAACAGGGCAAUGAGCAGGCAAGGGUAUUUUGGUCAUUUCUCAGCCUACACAGAUCCAAAUGAGGUGAUUCUUGAUGCAUUGGAAAUCUAACUCAAAGAGCUACAAGUUUCAUGUUUUGGUCAAGAGCUAAAUCAGCUUUUAUUAUCAAGAAAAGUUCGGUUGAAGUUGGGCCAAAAACAGAGCAAGUGAUCCACACUCGGAUCCACUAUUCAUCCGAACCCUCGGCUGUUUCUGGGUUAGUGGAUCCGAGGUACUGUAGCAGCUCGGAUCACUGUAGCAGCCCAGAUUUACUGUAGCAAUCCGGCCGGAAUUUGGCCGGAUUUGUGGCCGGAUUCCUGGCCGGAUUGUGGUCAGAGAAGUCUGCUUUUUACGCGGAAAACUCAAUUUCACCUCCACCAACUCACAUGGGAUGCUAUACAUGUGAGAAACAUUCCCAGCUGUAAAAGGGAGAUGUAAUCCUCAUUUCUUGACCACCUUUCAUCAUAAAAGAGCCAAAUUCAUUGCAAGAAGGAGGGGAAUAGAUAGCAGAGAAGAGGGGAUGAUAGAGUAAGAGAUAGAGAGACAUACGGGAGAAGCUUGGAGUCUGCAAAAAUGUAGCUCUUUCAUCUUCCUAGUAUUAGUUUAGCUUAGUAUAGAGUAGUGUAGCUUUUCCAUUCUUGUUUAUUAUCUAGAUUAGGAUGAAGAUGGAGGAUGAAGAAGGCAAGGAAGAAAGCUCAUGUGACAAGGGUUGUAUUCCUUCAAAACUCUUUAUCUUUUGUAUUUGAUUCCAAGUUUAGUUAAUAUACAAGUUCUGGAUUUUGUGUUCAUUAUGUGCUUCUAAAGUUUAUACCUUGGGUUUGGUUGAACUUUCUAUAAUUGUUAGUGUUUAUUAUUUGGUUAUUUGACUGCUAGUAUUUGAGCAAGUUAUUUAGCACUUUGGCUCUUGAAAUCAUGAUUAAUCUGGUACCAUUGAUUGUGAUUAUCUAAGGUGUUGUUUCUGCAAUGAAAAUUGAGAUUUAACACUAGUUCAAGAAGUGCUAAACAUAGGGAGUACACUCACGGAAGUAGAGAUGCACUUAUGUGGUUUUUAGUGAUUCAUUUCAUGUAAUUUCAUUGAAGAAAUGAACUUGUAGCUAAUUUCAUAACCAUGAAAAUAGGUAUGGAUUAGUUAUGAGUAUAGUUGAUUCACUACGAAAGUAGGUUUCACAUGUUUAAGGAAAUUACACCAUAAUUAGCUUAGAUGUAGUACUCAAUGAUCCAAAUAUAGCACUUGCAUGAGUAGUUAGGGAUACCACAACCUAAGGAGCUUUUAUUUGUUAUUUUAUAUAAUUUCAGUAGGUUAAAUUUGUUAUAAUUCAUUGAUAGUCUAAAUAAUAGAGAAGCUUUAGUAAUACCGGUAAUUGUUCACUCUUCCCUGUGGGAUCGACCCGAUAUAUACCCUAAACUACUAGUUGACCUGUAUACUUGCAGUGAACGGGUGUAAUUCGGUUUUUUAACUUGUACGUAUGUAAAAUACCCGUCAAGUUUUUGGCGCCGUUGCCGGGGAAGAUUUGGCAAUAUCGGUGUGAAGAGUAACUUUAUUAGUUUAGACAUAAUAUUAGUUAUAAUGUGAAUGUUAUUUUCUGUUAUUUUUGUAUUUUAUGUGUGUAUGUGUUUCAUUACCUAUUUUUCUUACUAAUUUUGCUUUUGAGAUUGUUUAAAAGCAAUUUUACGUAAUGAGAAAGGUAGGUCAAUUUGGAGGACAAUGCUUGAGAAGUGGAAGAUUGGAAAUGAAUGGUUACCAAGUGCAAAGCUCCUUCAAUAGAGGUAACCAAGAAUUUACUGAAUGUAUGUCUUUUGAAGAUGGUUUAAGGUGCUUAAAGACUAAAUUUGAUUUUAUGAUGUUGCAAGUUCAAAUGGACGCAAUUAUGCAUGAAAUUGAGGAAGGGAGGAAUGAUAAUGCUUUUAAUUCUUAUCAUGUGAUUUGUGACUUGUGUGGAGAUUAUCAUGCUACUAAUACAUGUAUGCAAGCACAAAAUGUGGAUUAUUAUGAUGAAUUAGAGCAUUACAAUCCUUGUUUUAAUCAAUAUAGUGCUAAUUGGAGCAAUUCUCCUGCUUAUGGUUGGGAUGAUCAAUGUACUUAUAGUGAUUAUUCAUGUUUUUAUGAUUACCAACCUAAAAGUGUCCAAUAUGAAUCAAAACCAUCUUGGGAGUUGGCAAUAGAGAAGUUAGCUAAUGCACCUCUGCCUUGGGAGUUAGAAAGUGAACCAUUAGCUAAUGAUUCUAAUGCAUCUUGGGAGCUAGCUGUAGAAAAUUUUUCUAAUCAAUUUGAUUUAGCAUUAGAAAAGCUAGCAAAUGCAACUUCCGAUCGUUUUGAUAGGAUUGAGGAAAAAAUAGAUGAAUUAGCUUCUCACUUUGGUCGAAUACAUGAGCAAUUGAGUGCAUUGUGUGAAGUUAUUUCCUCUAAUAAUGUGCAAAAUGAUCCUAGCAUGAAUGGUGGGAAUGUUGUAUGUGAAAAUGGGUUGCAUUUUGAUGAAAAUGAUGAAUCUCAAGAGUGUUUUAAUGAGCAAAUAUCCAUUUCACAUAAUAAUAUCUUUGGAACUAACUUUGAACCUCAAGAGGUGAGUUUUAAUGGCUCAAUUUUCACCCCUCUUGAGGAGUGUAUAAAAAGUACAGGUUUUAAAGAUAUGCCUGCUCAAGAUACUCUCAUGGCAUUCCCUUUGGUAAGUUCUCAAGUGGUGUAUAUUCAAGGUAAUAUCUAUGAAACACUUGGGAUAGGUAAGUCACUUCCAUUUCUCACAUCAUUAGAUCUUGUGGCUUUUGCUAUAAAGUCACCAUUUAAUGAUCCACCACGACCACAAAUGGUGGAUUAUUCGCUAACAAAGCCUCCUUGAAAAAAUGAGGAGAAAUAGUCAAGCUAUUGACUUUAAAGAAGCGCUUAUUGGGAGGCAACCCAAUGUUUGUUUAAGUUCAUUUUACUUUGGAGUGAUUUUAUGUUUAAAGUAUAAGUUUGAGUAAUUUUGUUGUUUUUCAUUUGUAGGUUUUGGAAAAGUGACCAAAUGAGGUGAAAAAGGCGAAGUUUGAUCAAAGAUCUCAAUACCUCAAAUUCAGUAAUUAUGAAUUUUGAUGCAUUAAAGAGGUUUAGAAUGCAUGUUUAGAUCAUUUUACAUGUGCGUGAAUGGUUUAUUUUGACAUAGAAAUGAUCUAGGGUGUAUUUUGAAGAAUUGAGGUCAAACUGAAAAUUGCAAAAAUUCUGCAAUAAGUGCAGAUUCAAUGGAUCCAAGGCCUCGGAUCCAUAUGGAUCCAAGGCCUCGGAUCCACUUCUGCAAUCAGAGAAAACUUCGAGCUUCUGGAUCCGAACUCGGAUCCAUAUGGAUCCAAGGCCUCGGAUCCACUUCUGCAAUCAGAAAAAAUUCGAGCUUCUUGAUCCGAGCUCACUCAUCAUGAUCCGACCUCGGAUCCUUUCAAAAACGACCUCGGAUCCUGUUAAAAACGAAGGCUUGGAUCACUUUUCAACUCCACUUUUCUUCAUGUUGGCUUGUUUUUAGUAAGUUUUAGUUGUUCGAUUAAUGUUUUUGUGUGUUUUGUAGGUGGCAAUGGCAAGAGUUCAUGCAAAUGAUCUCAAUUGCAAAGGUGUUUAUAUUAAGGCAAAAAGGGAGUUUUCAUGUUCAAUUGAUGCAUUUCAUGCAUUUAAGGUGUUUCAUGUUUAAGUUAUAUUCAUGCAUGAUCAUGUUAAAUUUGAAUUUUAUUCAAAAAACAUGAAGUAGGUUGAAUGUGGAAGGUUGGCCAAGCAAAUUUGGAGGAAAAACUGCAGAAAACAGCUUUUUCUGCAGCAAAUCCGGCCAUAAAUCCGGCCAAAUGUUGGCCGGAUUGAAGGCCGGAUAGUCAGGGGAGAAAAGAAAAUUUUUUCGAGCAUUCUGGACAGAAUCCGGCCGAAUAUCCGGCCUGAAAUCCGGCCAAAAACUGGCCGGAUUGUAAAAAAAAAAAAUUUUUAAAAAAAGCCCACUGUAGCAAAUCCGGCCGGAAAUCCAGCCAAAAACUGGCCGGAUAUGUAACAGUAAAAAAAAAAAAAAAAUUUCUGCCCAGAAUCCCUCCACGAAUCCCUCCAAUUUCUGGCCGGAUUGUGAACAGUAACCAGCGUAAGAUGAAUCCGUUUCACGGAUUCCUCACAAUUUUUCUCCCUUCUUCUUCAACCCAACUCACACACUAACACCUCAAACACACACCACUCAGUAAAACACCACUUUUCACCAUUUAGUCUUCAAAUAACCUUCACCAAAUCACUUUCUCCCAUCCUCUAGAGUGAAUUUCAUAGUUCAUAUUCUUUCAAAAACAACUCUAAAGUGGUUUCAAGCUUACCAUUAGUUAGGGUUCUACCUUCUUGAAAUCACUCAAUUGAGGUUAAAUUGGAGUAAGUUUCUUGGGGGUUUUCACAUCAUAUUCAUCUCUAAACAUCACCAAACCACCUUGAGGUAACAAUUCUUCACCUAACUUUGUUAUUUGAAUUUUGCCAUGAAUGAAUAUUUUCUAUUUUUAGGUAAUUUUUAAUAUGUGAAGUUAGGUGCAUUUAUUUGAGCUUAUUGAUGCUAUUGGUGAUUGUUAGUGAUAACUAUAUUUUGUGAUUUGCAUUUAUUGUACUUAUUUGGUGAAUUCUUGCUAGUUUUAUACUUAAUUUGGCUUGGGGACAAAGUUGCAUAUUAAGUAGCCAAAUGUAGCAUUUUAAUUAGCUUAGUGGGAGUUUUUUUAUAUUUAUGUGAGUAAUUUAGAUUAUCUAAUGAAUGAAAAGGUGCUUGAUUGAAUGAUUUCGUGAAUUCUUAGAUAAUUCUAAAAGAAGAGGUGAAUUGAAGAUGACCUUAAUUGAUGAAAUUCAUAAAUGCACUUACAAUUUUUGUGGUUCAAUAGUUUUUAGUAUUUCAUGAAUUCUCACGAAGGUCAUUUAUAUUUUGGUUCGGUGUAUUUGCCUCCAUUUUGAGAUUACUUUUGUACUUGCGGGGAUUUGAUCAUUGAUGACAAAAUGUAUAAAUGGAACUUAUUUUGUUCAUGAUUGUGGAUUUUUUGUGUGAAAUUAGCUUCCCUUUGCUUUGGAUACUAAUGCAUAUAUUUGAUUAGCAAGGAUUAGCUCAUUUCAUGUUUUUAUCCCUUGAACAUUGUAUGGUUCCACAUGGUUGAUCAUCUUUCCUUUUUCCUUGACUUGCAUGUUUUCUUUUUGUUGAUUGCAACCUUUUAUUUUUAAGAAAUUUAUUUGUUUUUAUUUUGUCUUUUUCAGGGUGCAACAAGUGAACUCUCCAUUCUUUCUCAAAUAUGGUUGGAAAUUCAUCACUUGGACAUGGAUUCGGAUUACGCAAGUUCAAUUGAGCAGUAUUUUCUUUUACUCUUCAUUUAUUUUCCUUUUCUCAUAUUGAGGACAAUGUGAAGUUUAAGUGUGGGGGAGGAAAGUAUUGAACUUGCAUUUACUUGCCAUGUGAUGAUAUUUUGGUGAUUUAAAUGCUUAGAAAUGUUGGAAUUAUGUUUGAAUUAUUUGCCAUGUGGAUAAUUUGCUUGAAAUUGGGUUUGUUGGCAGGAAGUUUUCAUCCAUUUAUAUGGGGAAACUCCGUCAAAAUUUUUUCUAAAACUUUUCCAAUAUUUCACUAUGGCCCAAAAGUUCUUCAAAUUCUUGCAUUUUCAUUCAAAAAGGGCCAAUUUGUUCCAACCUUAAGUGUUUAAUUCUUUCAAUUGUUGAAAUGUUAUAUGUAUUUUGGAAGGUUUAGUCCUCAUUUAACUUGGAAAUAGUAUUAUGCAAUUAGAAUUUUUACAUUUUAGAAAGUAUAUUCGGUAAAGUGAGGAAAAUUAUGCCUAUAAUUUUACAUGUUUAAUGAGAUUUCUUCUCUUUACUUAAUUUUGCAAGUAAGUGAUUGAUAUAGUCGAUAAAGGUUAUAUUCCUCCUUUGAUUAUUCUUAUAUAUUUUCUAAGAGGGAAUAUCUAUUUAUUGUCCUUUAUUUCUGAAAAAGAAAAAAAAAGUAGAAAAAAAAAGAAGAAGAAAAAAAAAGAGAAAAGAAAAGAAAGUAAAUAAAAAUUGUUCUACUCCAAUGAUUCUCGUACCGAGUAACCGGGGGUUGGCAUCUACAAAUGUCGACAUUCGCGUAAAAAGGUACUUGAAUUAAGAGUAUGCAUUAGCAACUUGAAUAAGUGAAAUGUUGAGUAACCGGGGAUCUUCACUUAAAAGUGUCGAUUUUCGGGUAAAAAGGCAUUCUCACUAUUUAAGUAAAAUUUGUGUGAAUAAAUCCCUCUUAGUUAUAGAAUUUUGAGAAAAAGAUGAUUAUAAGGAGGAGGAAAGCUAUAAAUUGACUAUGUGAUUUGCUUAUUUGUAAAAUUAAGUUAGGGUAAGAGAUUAAGUUUAACUUGUUGAAUUUAGGGUAUAAUUAUCUUUCCUUUACUUGAUAUUAUGAGUAUUUAGUGUAAAUUGAAUAAUUGUACAAUGAUUAUUUUUCAAGUCUUGAGGAAUUAAAUUGGACAGAGUGCAUAUAUUGUUUCACCUCUUGAAUCAUUGCAUUUGAUUAUGUGUGAAUUGCUUGAGGACAAGCAAUGAUUUAAGUGUGGGGGAGUUUGAUAAGUGACUAAUUUACGUAAUAAUUGUAUGAUAUUUUAUACUAUUUUUAGUCACUUUGGUUAUAUUAUUGGAAGAAUAUGAAUCAUUUUGGCUAUAAUUGGUGAAAAAUGCUUUUAAGUGAUUAAAUGAGGUUUUUAUCAUUUUUUAGUGGGAUUUUGUGUAUUUUGACAGUUUUGACACAUUUUCGUAUUUCGGCUAUAACUUGAGCUACAAUGAUCGGAUUGAGAUGAUUCUUGAACCAAUUUGAAGAUAAGAGAAAGAUCUACAACUUUGGUGAAGACAUCUAAAUCCAGUUUGAAGGUUUUCAAAAUCAAAAAGCCGAAAUACAUUAGCUAAUUUCUGUUGGUCGAAGCUGAAACAGGGCAAUGAACAGGCAAGGGUAUUUUGGUCAUUUCUCAGCCUACACAGAUCUAAAUGAGGUGAUUCUUGAUGCAUUGGAAAGCUAACUCAAAGAGCUACAAGUUUCAUGUUUUGGUCAAGAGCUAAAUCAGCUUUUAUCAUCACGAAAGGUUCGGUUGAAGUUGGGCCAAAAACAGAGCAAGUGAUCCACACUCGGAUCCACUAUUCAUCCGAACCCUCGGCUGUUUCUGGGUUAGUGGAUCCGAGGUACUGUAGCAGCUCGGAUCACUGUAGCAGCCCAGAUUUACUGUAGUAAUCCGGCCGGAAUUUGGCCGGAUUUGUGGCCGGAUUCCUGCCGGAUUGUGGUCAGAGAAGUCUGCUUUUUACGCGGAAAACUCAAUUUCACCUCCACCAACUCACAUGGGAUGCUAUACAUGUGAGAAACAUUCCCAGCUGUAAAAGGGAGAUGUAAUCCUCAUUUCUUGACCACCUUUCAUCAUAAAAGAGCCAAGUUCAUUGCAAGAAGGAGGGGAGUAGAUAGCAGAGAAGAGGGGAUGAUAGAGUAAGAGAUAGAGAGACAUACGGGAGAAGCUUGGAGUCUGCAGAAAUGUAGCUCUUUCAUCUUCCUAGUAUUAGUUUAGCUUAGUAUAGAGUAGUGUAGCUUUUCCAUUCUUGUUUAUUAUCUAGAUUAGGAUGAAGAUGGAGGAUGAAGAAGGCAAGGAAGAAAGCUCAUGUGACAAGGGUUGUAUUCCUUCAAAACUCUUUAUCUUUUGUAUUUGAUUCCAAGUUUAGUUAAUAUACAAGUUCUGGAUUUUGUGUGUAAUAUGUGUUUUUAAAGUUUAUACCUUGGGUUUGGUUGAACUUUCUAUGAUUGUUAGUGUUUAUUAUUUGGCUAUUUGAUUGCUAGUAUUUGAGCAAGUUAUUUAGCACUUUGGCUCUUGAAAUCAUGAUUAAUCUGGUACCAUUGAUUGUGAUUAUCUAAGGUGUUGUUUCUACAAUGAAAAUUGAGAUUUAACACUAGUUCAAGAAGUGCUAAACAUAGGGAGUACACUCACGGAAGUAGAGGUGCACUUAUGUGGUUUUUAGUGAUUCAUUUCAUGUAAUUUCAUUGAAGAAAUGAACUUGUAGCUAAUUUCAUAACCAUGAAAAUAGGUAUGGAUUAGUUAUGAGUAUAGUUGAUUCACUACGAAAGUAGGUUUCACAUGUUUAAGGAAAUUACACCAUAAUUAGCUUAGAUGUAGUACUCAAUGAUCUAAAUAUAGCACUUGCAUGAGUAGUUAGGGAUACCACAACCUAAGGAGCAUUUAUUUGUUUUUUAUUUGUUAUUUUGUAUAAUUUCAGUAGGUUAAAUUUGUUAUAAUUCAUUGAUAGUCUAAAUAAUAGAGAAGCUUUAGUAGUACCGGUAAUUGUUCACUCUUCCUCGUGGGAUCGACCCGAUAUAUACCCUAAACUACUAGUUGAUCUGUAUACUUGCAGUGAACGGGUGUAAUUCGGUAUUUUUUAGCUUGCACGUAUGUAAAAUACCCGUCAUUCCUUAUCAUUGACUACUCCGGGAUUCAAUUGAGCAUUAUACUUAGCUAACAGAUCUGUACCCCUUCACUGGUCAGGUUCAAUAAAUUAUUACUGUAACGGCCCCACUUCUCCCUAGGGCGUACCCCAGGGUAUCGGCGGACCGCCUGCCCAACUCUUGCAGGGACUCAGUCAGUCACUAUAAGAAAAGAUAAGAAAAUCCACAAAACAAUCGAAAUAACAAUAAUUCCAAACUUAAACGUGAACUUAUAUACAUUACUGUCUCAAUGGAAGUACAACUGUCAAAAUAUAGGUUCUCAAUUCACCAUACAACCAGCCCGUGCCAAGCACUAGGGCGAGAACCUUUACAAAAGAAACCAAAGUACUACAACGGCCAAUCUAUUCGUAGCCUCCGUCCUCGCACGUCUUCCCCUGCUAAGGAAAACAAAAAACUAAAGGGAUGAGCUGGAAAGCUCAGUGAGGUUCCGUACACAUAGGCAACAAGAGAAACAAAUGCAUGUAAACAACAAUUCACGAUACAAGUACAAUAAAGCGAUAAACACAUUCAUUAAAAGGAUACAGGCUCACAAGGAGCCAAUCGUUCAUUCAUUCAUUCAUUUUCCUUCCAUUCUCCUUCCUUCAAUCAUUUGAAAAUGCAUUUUGUAUAAGUAAAACCCCUCGUUCAUUCAUUCAUUCAUUUCAUUCACCCCGUCCCUGGCUUUUGGCCAGGCUCCACCAACCUACAGGGUAAUACUCGAGUAUACCGGAUCGUUCACCCAAGUUCCUAAUCGCUCGACCGAGUCCGACUGGCUCGAGACGACCGGUAACAAGGGGCUAUGGCCAGUUCAGCCCGAAGGCCUACAUUCAUGCACAAUUAACAUUUCAAUCGCUCAAUCAUUAAAAUUUCACAAUCAUUUAGGCUAAGUGCGGUAAAGUACACACUCGCCUCGAAAAUCAUUUUAGCAGUCAUUGAAAGCGUUUAACACGUUAUCAAUCAUUCAAACAAGCCAUAAAAUCAGGAAACAUAACAAAUAAGGAACACUCACCCAGACACGCAAAACAACGCCCACUUCUCAAUCACCAAGAAAACCUAAAAUGACAUAAAGACCACAUUACAAUCCAUCUAACAUGAUUUAGAUGAAAACAACAAAUACCCGACUACUCGCGAGUAAACAUAUAAAAGACCCUCAAAGUGUAAAGAGGGCACUUGGAUUCGUAGACAAGAAUAACCCUAAUGCAACCCAAACCAAGAAGGUUAUAAAAUCUCUAAGAGGAAACACUCACUCCAAACAAUUCGAAAUUCCAAUAGAGCUAAGAAAACAUUCUUUCGGAAUUGCGUAUGUGAUUCAAAAGCAUAUAUCUUCAAGUGGCCAAGAAAUGACCGAAGCCUUGAUGAAAAUCAUGCGAAAAAGAGGUCAAAAUACCUUAACUUCCACACUUAAAACCUUGCUUAGAAACAAUGCACUUAUGGCCGAUAUAACCCGAACUCCUACCUUUAUAGGUUGGAAAGGCUUAAGGAAUAUUUGAAGUUUGAAACGAAAAAGGUAUCAUGUUUUCAAAAGAUAAAACGGUCACAUUACUUGCCAAAAGACAAUAUACGAGUUCGAAUAGAAAUGUAGUCUUCGAACCCUUAUUCAAAAACCCGAAGACACUUCCAAGGAAAUACGUUCAAUAUGAUACAAAAUACAUUUCAAAAAAACCACUUUAACUUAUUCAUUUUACAAGAAAAUAAACGGACGGCAUGUCCCUUGUGUUUACCUAUUUUUCCAGCCAUUAAUGGCUUCAUUAUUUUUCUCAAAUUAGUCCCAACAUGUCAUAUAGAAUAAUCUCAUGUCCAAAAGCCGUUCACUAGGCUUAAAAUCAUAUAAACACAACAAUAACUACGAAAAGCAAGCUAGAAACAUUUUCAGAUAAAACAGUGAUUGACAACAUUUUGCGGAAAUGGCACUAAAGGCACUCCGAUUUUUGGAUUAGGGUGUAAGACCCACCGUCUCGAAGCUAAGAGAUAGGGCUACAACAAUGUAGAAGGUCACUCAGUCCAGUUUGUAGUGCAACUAGGUCAAAAAUACAAGACACUAGUUCAGAAUCGUAAGAGCAGGGGGACCAACCACGUUCUGGUUAAUGAGCCACAAUUCAGUCUACCUAGGUCCAAAUCCAUUGAUUCCAAAGCCAAAAGACAGCUAGGACAUCAGGCUACAUUUCUUCAGAAGACCUCAACAACCAGUUCAGAAGUAUUCCUAGCCAAAUUAGCUAAUUACAGAAGCAAGUCCCAAGUUCGGAUGAAACUAGGGCAGCACGGGUAUUUUUGACUUUUCUCACUCUACACUACUCCGAUUGACCCGAAAUUUUGUAGAAAUCCUAAAAUGUUAUUACCUACAACCUUUAUGUUUUAAGCCAAAGCUAAUUCGGCCUCUAACUAUGGUGAAUAGGGCCGGACAGAAUUGAAGGGUGUGACACCCUCACUUUUCCAAAUUUCCUUCUAAACAAAAAUUUCUUGCUAUUAACCUUCAUUUACAUUAACUAGCCUCAUUCUAUAACAUUCCCCUUCAUCUUACAUGGCCACAAAGACAACUUCAAAUGCAAAUAGAAAAAUCAUAAAUAAAUAUAAAGCUUCACCAUAAAUCAACCCAAAUCAAGAUAUAACUCACAAAAUGACAUUUUCAACUCUUACAAUUCACAAUUUAACCAUUAUCAAUGCAAGAGAGAACCUUCUUAAUCAUCUUACCUCACAACUCAAGAAGACUAGAAAUUCAAAGCUUCCCUUUCAAAAUCACUCCACCCAAAGCUUUAACCUUCCAAGAAGCUCACUUGUAUGGAGGGAAUUAAAAAUCUAUUGGUGAAGUUUCAAGAUUGAAGCAAAAAUCAAAGAUGAAGAUUGAAGAGUUUUUCUCUCUUUGCUCUCAAAGCUCACGGCUGGACAGGGAAGAAAUGAGAUAUUUUGGACCAAAAAGGUGGGAUAAGAAUGAAAGAAACAGCCGGUCAAAGCCUCUGACCGGCUGUGACACGUCACAAUCCGGCCAGAAUCUGGCCGGAUUUCCGGCCGGAUUCUUGGCCGGAUAUGAGGCAGAGGCUAAACAAAUUUUUUUUCAAAACUGCAGGGCAAUCCGGCCAGCUAUCCGGCCAGAAACUGGCCGGAUUUCCGGCCGGAUUUGGCCACCUCAUUUUUCCAAAAUUUUCUCUUCUUUUUCCGAAUUCGAUUGUCGCGUUCAACUGUACUUCUAACACAUACACAUACACAUAUCUCACACACAAAUGCACAUAACAAUGAACCUUCCAUUGUUUAACCAAAAGGGUUAACAAAUUUUCACUAAAAAUGGAGAAAAGAAAAUAAGCAAAAGGCCAAGAAAAUUGAGGGAAGUUAGGGUUCUCACAAUUACCUUCCACGUCCUCUAAUGGGUCAAAGACUUGAUGUUGUUCUAAGGAGUACACCCGAGAGGACACUUUCGAUCCAUAAACAUAAACAUAAACGAUCCACCGAGGAAUGGCCUUUCUAGUUCACCAAAUCCUUUCUAACCUAGGCCCUCAUAUCUUUCGUAUCAGGGCGCAAGAAUCCUAUCUAAAAUAAUUCACAGCUCGAGCCGGCCGGUCCCAAGAGUAAACCAUCCUUAUUAAAGAUUCCUACCCGACAUACAUAUCUAUUUUCCUCAAAUUUCAUGAAAAUAAUUUUUAAACUUAUAACAUGCCCAGUUCAUAACUUACGCUCAAACGAGCACUUAGACAUAUUCAGGAAAUCAAGACCAUAACACCACUGGCCCAAGCUCACUCCGCGCAGAGACCACGCGAAGUGGCUCUGAUACCACCUGUGACGGCCCCACCUCCCCCUAAGGCGAACCAGAGGGUUCGGCGGGUCGCCUGCCCAGCUCUCGCCAGGACUAACGGUUCGGUAUAGAACGAGCUAAUACAUCCCGAAACUUACCAACGCGGGUAAAAAAAAUAAAUAAAUAAAAUAAAAUCGAAGUCGGCUAUGAAUAGUAACCGACCCGUCAGAAACCAACCAAAUAACAAGCAAACAUUCCCAUCUUGAAACUUAGCAUUUAUAAGCCAAAGUGGCAUACAAAAGUAUUCAAAAGUGGAGACAUGUCUGGUUUGCCAAAUCAAAAGGAAAACAGUUCCCAAAAGUACAUUUAAGAUUUUAAUACAUGAGCUAUACAAAAGAUAUGUUCAACUAGCUCAAUUUGGCAGCCAUUUGUCAAAUCCAGUCCAAAAGUAUUUAUUUUCCUGUAAGGAAAACAAAAGAAACAGAAAGGGGUGAGCUUGCGCUCAAUGAGGUACCAAACAUAUAGCAGAAAAAUCAUGGCAUUUCACAUUUAACAAAUCAGAUACACAUGCCAGAUGUAAAGUAAAGUAACUAAUGAUUCACAUAGGAAGGAUACAGGUGGCUCUCAGGAGCCAAAUUUCCAGCGCAGUACUUGAUCCAAACCGGUUGACUCUCCGUCAACGUAUAUAGAACCAACGCGUCCGUAGACCCACUUCGCACCGAAUUCCGUCCACCAAACACCCCUUUACCGGGCCCGCUCACCUCAAACGAACAAAAUGGUAAUACUCGAGUAUACCCGGAAUCAAGGGUCUCAAUACCCAAAAUCCCCGAACAGACUACCAUGGUUCGUUAUCUAAUCGUCCAGGCCCUUGCCGGCCCGACUCGAAUAACUUAGCCACAGGACUGAGCUCAUAGGUCAUAGAAAUCUGAACAGAUGCAGACACAGAUAACAGAUUCAAAUUUUGCAUAGUAAAUUGGCAUAUGAACAGACAAGAGAACGAGUGUGAUAAAGUACACCCUCGUCUCAAACAAAUAAACAGAUUGCAGAGCAGAAAUCAAGUUAAACAGCAAUGGAGGGGAGUGGUACACUCACAGGCUCAACUUCAAAAAGUUUCACUUCAGAUUGGCCUUAAUCGCCAAGAAACCCUAAAAUAACCAAAAUAAACCAAUUGAAGGUUUCACAUCCAUAAUCGAGUAAACAAAAUGCACAUGAGGCUCGACUACUAGUCGUAUGCCUCGCCAAAUAAUUACUAAUGCAAGGGUACAAAACAUGAUUUUUUGGGAACAAAAUGAUAGCAUAAAGACCUAGGUUCAGCAACCCAAAAGCCCUUUUAUUUCUACCAAAAGGCAAAUCCAACUUAAAAGAACCAAACGGCCUAGAAAAUCGGGCAGCACUUCCCCUAAAUUUCUUACUUUUCCAGCCAUUAAGGCUUCAUUAUUUCCUCGAAUCAGUCCCAACAUCUCACACAAAAUUCACCUCAUUUCCAAAAGCCAUUCACUAGGCUCAAAGUAAAAGUUAACUAGGAAAUGACCGGAAUAAAAGUAAGCCUUAAAACAUACAAAAAAGUACAAUGAGACUCGAUAACUAAUCAUAAAUCAAUGCCAAAUAUGAUCCCAAUAGGGUUCCAUAAGCAUAUACAAUCAUUAGAGAAAACCAGAAAAUUCGGAAUUGCAAUUAGCUUUGGCCCUGAAAAAACAGUUUUUGACUUCUUUUUUUACGGUAACGGUACCAAAUGCCCUAUGAUUAUCGGAUGAAGGUGUAAGACCCAUGAUUUCGAAGCUAAAAGACAGGGCUACAACAUCACAGAAGGUCACUCAACCCAGUUUUGAGUGCAAAUAGGUCAAAAAUGCAAGAUACCACAUCAAAAACGUAAAACAGAUUCACCAAAACGCAUUCUAGCGGAAACAUCAUAACUCAGGCUCUACAAGUCCAAAUUCAGAAAUUCCAAAACCAGCUGAAAGCUAAGAAACAGGGAUAAAUUUCAUCAGAAGGCCUCAACAACCAAUUCGGAAGCAAUUCAGACCAAAACACCCAAUUACAGUCGCAAAUCUCAAUUUCGGGUAAAACCAGAACAGCAAUAGUAAUUUCGACUUAUCUCAUUUCACACUACUCCGAUUGAUUUGAAAUUUUGUAGGCACCUCUAAAAUAUUAUUCCCUACAACUUUCAUGUUUUGAGCUAAGGCCAAUUCGGCCUCUAUCUAUGACCUAAAAUUCCGGACAGAAUGAAGAACCAAGGAACCCUAAUUUUCCAGAUUUCUUCCAAACCCAAAAUUGAUUGCAAUUACCAAUCAUUUACACCUGCUAGAGUUAUUAAACAUCAUUUCCAACCAUCAUGGACAGCCACAACAUCAUGAUCAAAUUAAACCAGAAAAAUCAUCAAUAAAUUAAAAACUUCACCAAUUCAUCUCAAACCAAGAAAUAAACCACAAAUUUCAACACUUUAGCUCCCACUAGGCAUAACUUAAGCUUCAUUAAGUGUAGGAAGAAGUUCAAUCACCACUCACCUAGUAAACAAGAGAGGGAGAGUUGUAGGACACCUUAGCUCCUCCAAACACUUCACCAAACCACUAAACAACACCAAAUGAAGAGGUUUUAUGGAGUAGAAACAAGUUUAAGGGAUUGCUUGGGAUGAUUUGAGUUAGAUGGAUGCCAACUUUUGAAGAGUUUUCUUCCUUCCUUUGCUAGAGAGAGAGAGCCGACCAACAAGGAGAGGAAAAGAGUGAAUUCUUGGUGAUUUUUGGGGUAUUUAAUCAAUUAGUCAAAAAAAGUCAAAAGGUGAAUAGUUGUCCACCAAGUCCAACCAAUGGAAGAGUGACACUUGUCACUUCAUUAAAUGCAUUCCUAUCCCUUUCUUUUCCUCUCACAUCAAUCACUUCGCAUCCUCUACUUAUCUCUUAACACCCGAUAAAUUUCAACCAGUAUCCGAAAUUUAACCUAAUUGACCGAAUUUUUCCGAACUUUUCGCACUAGUGGGUCCCACGUCCGAUAUAUAUCCUUAAUUUUUCAAAAACUCUCCAAUACUAGAAAAAUCAUCUAAAAACAUAAUUACUCAUAAUAUUCACCAGGAAAAUUUUUUUCCUAAGCCAGAAAAUGCAGAAAACAUGCCAUUAAAGGGGAUAAACCCUAGGAAAAUUAUUAAGAGGAAUUUACGGGUUCUCACACACUGGAUUCUUCCCUUCAAGUUUAGCCAUUUCUUCCUCUGACUCUUCCUUUCAUUUUUUUUCCCAAUUUCCGUUGAUCAAUUUUUUCACCUCCUUCACGGCCAGAUAAGGUGGAAAUUGAAGAGCCGGCCGUCACCUUUACUCUUUCUUUUGCAUUCCCUUUUCCGCUAUUGUUGUCUUCCUCCAACAGCCUGCCGUCACCUCUGUUUUGAGCCGCAGCCGGACGAUGAAGAAAUUGCAGAACCAAUCGGCUUGUUUGUCCAGCCGGCCGUCACCUUUAUUCUGGAGUGAACCUCAAAAACUAGUGAUGGAUUGCAGAAAUUGCAGAACAAUGAAGAAUUUCAGAACGAUGAAAAAAUUGCAGAAAUUGCAGAACGAUGAAGAAAUUGCAGAAAUUGCUGGUAUGCUUCUCUUUAUCCCCACUUUUUCCUUGUCUUUGUGGCUGCAAAAUGAAACAAUAAAGCAUGGGAAAAGGCUGCAACACCGUGUGGACCACCCCUUGUAAUUGUAGUUUUGUUUGGUUUUGUAAAAGGCUCUGCAACUGUGGUGCGAUGCCUUGUGUGUCCUUUCGGCGUGUUCUUUUUUUGUUUGGUUUUGGCUUCCCAGUUGGUAUGUAAACUUGUUAGCCGGUACAUAUCCGAGUUGAAUCCGAAAAAUUGAUCGUUAUCUUGCUACACGGUGCUAAUUCGGACGAUAUCGGCUGAUUCAGAGUGAUUCAAAUCGGAUAUGGUGUAAUCGGCGUUUCGGGUAUCGGUAUCGGAACGGCAGGUGCCGUUCCGGUUAUGACUCGGCCGAGUCGUCUCGGACUCGGCCGAGUUGGCGAACCCUGCUU
Molecule: long non-coding RNA, 20098 nt
Filed under: Coffea arabica (coffee)
Lineage: Eukaryota; Viridiplantae; Streptophyta; Magnoliopsida; Gentianales; Rubiaceae
Description: long non-coding RNA (CARA_LNC002964)
Source: RNAcentral